CUUAACCUAUAUGCAGGGGCUUGUGCAAGGUUGCCUCUUGUGUACAUGUUUGUGUUAUCGCAACUUCUUUAUUGAAACUCUCGAUAAAAUCUUGAAGUUGCAUCUCUGUGUGGGUUUGAAAUGGGCUUCUACCAAGUGCUUUCUGAAUCUAAUUCUAUAUUUUCUGUACGACCCAAUUAUGAAUACGAACUAGAAACGUCGUAUCUCCUGCAACGUCCCAAGAGAUGAAGCAACUUGAAAUUCCAAGGACUCAAACUUCAUCUAGCAUGGAGAAAGUUCUCAAUACUGACUGGAGUUAUCCUAGAGAAAAUAGUGCAUCCUGGCAAUUCUUCAAUAUUCGGGUAUUCAAAUCUUGUCAACUGGAUGGUGAAAACUAAUAUUGAAGCUCGUCAUAUGCUUUGAUUUUGGAAGCCAUGUAGCGGUAUCUUCAAUUGACAUGACUGAGCUAUGAAUCAAUGGAUGAGCCACAAUUCUAUUUUCCAUGGUCAGUACUUCUCCAGCUUGUACACUUCGAAUCAAGAUCAAAUGUAACGAAUAGUAAAUGGUCUUAUACCAAUACACAGGGAACUUCAAUGCACCUAGUAACAAUAUUUUCAAUUCAAAAUUAAACGUUAUUAAAACUCAAAAUACAUUCA
This is a long non-coding RNA of Argiope bruennichi, 635 nucleotides long. RefSeq lists it as uncharacterized. The record is from RefSeq and is a predicted model, not a curated record. The transcript has 3 exons. NCBI's taxonomy places the organism in Eukaryota, Metazoa, Arthropoda, Arachnida, Araneae, Araneidae.